This 260-nucleotide ribosomal RNA is filed under the name uncultured Glomus. RNAcentral describes it as "partial 18S ribosomal RNA". It matches the Rfam family "Eukaryotic small subunit ribosomal RNA", at positions 624 to 886 of the family's 1831-position model. The record is from RNAcentral. Lineage: Eukaryota; Fungi; Glomeromycota; Glomeromycetes; Glomerales; Glomeraceae.
AAGCUCGUAGUUGAAUUUCGGAAUUUGUCGGUUGGUCGGGCUUCACUGUCCGCACUGGCCUGAUAGAUUCCUACCUUCUGAAUAACCAGCAUGCUAUUAAUUUAGUGCGUUGGGGAAGCAGAGCUAUUACCUUGAAAAAAUUAGAGUGCUUAAAGCAGGCUUAUGCUUGAAUAGAUUAGCAUGGAAUAAUAAAAUAGGACGGCUUGGUUCUAUUUUGUUGGUUUCUAGGAUCACCGUAAUGAUUAAUAGGGAUAGUUGGA